Molecule: ribosomal RNA, 481 nt
Filed under: uncultured bacterium
Lineage: Bacteria
Description: bacterial SSU rRNA
Rfam family: Bacterial small subunit ribosomal RNA
Source: RNAcentral
GAUGAACGCUAGCGGCAGGCUUAACACAUGCAAGUCGAGGGGCAACACGGGUAGCAAUACCUGGUGGCGACCGGCGCAAGGGUGCGUAACGCGUGAGCAACAUGCCCUAUACAGGGGGAUAAUCCAGGGAAACUUGGUCUAAUAUCCCAUAGUAUUUAGAGGUGGCAUCACCACUAAAUUAAAGCUUCGGUGGUAUAGGAUUGGCUCGCGUGACAUUAGCUGGAUGGUGGGGUAACGGCUCACCAUGGCGAUGAUGUCUAGGGGUUCUGAGAGGAAGACCCCCCACACUGGGACUGAGACACGGCCCAGACUCCUACGGGAGGCAGCAGUGAGGAAUAUUGGACAAUGGAUGGAAAUCUGAUCCAGCCAUGCCGCGUGCAGGAGACGGCCCUAUGGGUUUAAACUGCUUUUAUAUGGGAGCAAUAAGGUUUACGCGUAGACCGAUGAGAGUACCAUAUGAAUAGCAUCGGCUAACUCCGUG